Molecule: long non-coding RNA, 1390 nt
Organism: Contarinia nasturtii (swede midge)
Lineage: Eukaryota; Metazoa; Arthropoda; Insecta; Diptera; Cecidomyiidae
Exons: 3
Source: RefSeq, a predicted model, not a curated record
UCUCUCCUCUCGUCUCAAAUGAUUUUUAAGUGUACACUCGAAUGCUACAUGAAAAUCUAAAGUGAUAAACACACAUAAUUCCAUGCAUUGAUAUAUUUUUUUGCCUAGACACAUACACAUCGAAUCAUUUUAUUCUACACUGUUUCUAUUUUACAGUAAUAUUGUAUUAUGAUUUUUGCUCCAUUGAUAACAUGUCCGACUUGGUUACACUUCAACGUCAAUAAUAAUUAUUAUCAAUGACCAAUUCAAUGCGCAAAUUAUGAUGUUUCAACGGCGACACAUCCAAAAAACUUGAUUCGACACAUCAUAAAGAAAAAUAACCACACUAUCGUCACAAGGCUGUAUAUCAACGUGCAACCAAAGUCAUAAUAAUAAUAACAACAAGUACACAGCAGCAACGAAUCUUGAAACGUGAACUAUUAAAAAGGGAACAUGAAAUAAAAACAAACGGCAAUGCAAAUAAAUCGCAUUACAUUCGUGGAGUACACAUUUUGAUGCGAAAAAUAGCGGACUGUCUUGUUUUAUGCCUUCGCCUUCGUGUCCAAGCAUCUUGAGUUAAACAAAAAAAAAGGUGAAAAAGGCAAGUCUCUGGUUUCUUUGCCAAUUUCAAUAGUCUCGUAUGCAUUUGUUCAAAAGAACGAAGUGCGAGCCGCGUUCAUUCAAACUGAAUCACAAGCAUGCAGAAGUAAGAAAGAAACUCACACACACAAACAACAACAACAACUUUAUAGGUAAAACAAUCAGCAUGGCACCAAUAUUAAUAAUAGUAAUCAUCAUAAUAAAAACCGUACUUGCCAUGGUUACUAAAUGGCAAAAACCGCGCACAUUCUUUUACCCGGGAUCGGAUGACGUGAGGAUGCCCGUGUAAAGCCAAAACCAGCAUCCAAAGCGUGCAUUAAGUAAAAGGGAGAGAGGUGGGAAAGAAAAGCAGAAAGCAGCCACAUAAAAAAUGAACGCAUAAUGCUUUUUUUCUUCCAUUUUUCCAAAGUCUAUUUCAAUCGUGUAACAUUUUCUUCAACCAUUCUCAUUACCAAGAGAGAGAGAGAGAGAGAGAGAGAGAGAGAGAGAGCUGUGCAGAGCCAUCGUCUUAAUCUUUUGAUUUUUUUUUAUCCUGCUGCCAGCUUGUUUAUAUACAUUCACUCUAUCUUACACAUACACCGUUUUUUUAUUUCUCAUUUGGAAUGUUCCGUAUUUCUUUUUUUUUUCGUUUGUUCUUUAAGUCAAGGUUUUUUUUUAAGAAUCUAACUAUUCGGAGAUGGUCCAUGAAAAAGCAUCGCUUCGAUGGGACAAAACUAAUGGCUGCAUGACACUAAUGAAAAAUUGUUGCUUCACAUUACUAAAUUCGAAAUAAAAUAUAUAUUAAAAUAAAUUCAUCGUCAAUUGCUUCUUG